GUAAUGGCGUAUAUGUUCGUAACAAAGCAAUUAAAGAAGGACUUACUUUCUAAAUAAUCUUCAAGGUACAGCAUUUUGAUACAAAAAUGAUACGAAGACCUUUAACAGAAAUAACUCUCAAACUUGAUGAUUUGCAAGAGUAUGAGGCUUAUAGACGCGAACAAGCAACCAAUUCAUCGGUAAAUAACGAAAUGCAAGAAGAUACCCCUAAAUCAUUAGCGGGCGCAACAAAAACAACAGAAGAAAUACACAAUAGAAUAGGGUAUGCUCCAAAGAAAAAGCCCAGUGGACCAAGUACUGUAUAAAAUAAAAACAUGGUGUCAUAAUCUGAAUAUUUAAUAAACUUCAUUAUAA
Vanessa tameamea is the source of this 354-nucleotide long non-coding RNA. RefSeq lists it as uncharacterized. The transcript is spliced from 2 exons. The record is from RefSeq and is a predicted model, not a curated record. Lineage: Eukaryota; Metazoa; Arthropoda; Insecta; Lepidoptera; Nymphalidae.